Molecule: ribosomal RNA, 468 nt
Filed under: uncultured bacterium
Lineage: Bacteria
Description: partial 16S ribosomal RNA
Rfam family: Bacterial small subunit ribosomal RNA
Source: RNAcentral
GACGAACGCUGGCGGCGUGCUUAACACAUGCAAGUCGAACGGAAAGGCCCUGCUUUUGUGGGGUGCUCGAGUGGCGAACGGGUGAGUAACACGUGAGUAACCUGCCCUUGACUUUGGGAUAACUUCAGGAAACUGGGGCUAAUACCGGAUAGGAGCUCCUGCUGCAUGGUGGGGGUUGGAAAGUUUCGGCGGUUGAGGAUGGACUCGCGGCUUAUCAGCUUGUUGGUGGGGUAGUGGCUUACCAAGGCUUUGACGGGUAGCCGGCCUGAGAGGGUGACCGGCCACAUUGGGACUGAGAUACGGCCCAGACUCCUACGGGAGGCAGCAGUGGGGAAUAUUGUACAAUGGGCGGAAGCCUGAUGCAGCAACGCCGCGUGCGGGAUGACAGCCUUCGGGUUGUAAACCGCUUUCGCCUGUGACGAAGCGUGAGUGACGGUAAUGGGUAAAGAAGCACCGGCUAACUACGUG